Orussus abietinus is the source of this 1038-nucleotide RNA transcript. It is a transcript of the gene named dual specificity protein phosphatase 3, with no coding region annotated. Lineage: Eukaryota; Metazoa; Arthropoda; Insecta; Hymenoptera; Orussidae. The transcript has 5 exons. The record is from RefSeq and is a predicted model, not a curated record.
UCUCCCUGUAUUCUAUUAUAAGAAGGAUAAUCGAGGAGACUGCUAUAGAGUCCGCUUAAACUCCACUUAGAGACUUAUAUAGCGUAUUCGCAUGCGUCUCAUAUUAAAUAACCAACAGUUUGUACUGGAAGUGACAGUUGGGCGCAGUUCACGACAGUUAUCAAGAUGAACAACACAUGGAGAGAUCGAGACCGGGAUUUUCAGAAACAUCUUCCGGGGGGUGAAACGACAGGCUCUCAAUUACACGAUGUCUUGAGCAAAACUGAAACAGAAUUGAGACCAAUACCUGGUUUCGAUGAGAACGUCGACGAUAGAAACUAUUAUCGCCUGCAACAUGACAUCGAUUGCGAUGAGGUUUAUCCAAAUAUCAUUCUUGGAGAUGCGAGUACCGCUAAAAAUAAAAAGUUUCUGAAAAGGUUGGGCGUGACUCACGUACUUAAUACAGCUGAAGGAAAUCGAUUUGGUCUUGUGAAUACUAAUAGACACUAUUAUAGUGACACAUCGAUAGAAUACCUUGGGUUACCGAUUAUAGAUUUGCCUACCAUUGACAUUAGUCAAUAUUUUCCUGCAGCAGUAUCAUUUAUUCAUAAUGCUCUUUCUUCUGGAGGCAAAGUGUUCGUCCACUGUAUGUUGGGAAUAUCUCGCAGUGCAACAUGUGUCAUUGCAUAUUUGAUGACCAAAAAAGAAAUGCUAGCAGUCGACGCAAUUCAGUUGGUCCGUACGAACCGUUGCAUCAAUCCCAAUCAAGGUUUCUUGCGGCAACUUGCAAACCUGGAUAAUCGGCUACGUCGAGAACGCCUGUAAUUAGAAGAAUUAUAAUACUUUUGAACUCAUCUAUCUAUGUGAUCAAAAUGGAACAAAGCGCUUCAAUCGACGUUGUGAAUAAAACAACAAAUCAGAUGAAAAAUUUAGCAAAGUUAACAUACGGAAAUAUCAAUCAAAAUAUAUUUAUUGUAAGAAUUUUAUUACUCACUUAAAAUAGAAAUAUUAAUCCUGAUAAUGUGCAAAUUGAAUAAAUAGUACAAAUAUGAAUACGUA